Molecule: ribosomal RNA, 473 nt
Filed under: uncultured bacterium
Lineage: Bacteria
Description: bacterial SSU rRNA
Rfam family: Bacterial small subunit ribosomal RNA
Source: RNAcentral
ACUCCUACGGGAGGCAGCAGUGGGGAAUAUUGCACAAUGGGGGAAACCCUGAUGCAGCCAUGCCGCGUGUGUGAAGAAGGCCUUCGGGUUGUAAAGCACUUUCAGUAGGGAGGAAGGUAGUGUAGUUAACACCUGCAUUAUUUGACGUUACCUACAGAAGAAGCACCGGCUAACUCCGUGCCAGCAGCCGCGGUAAUACGGAGGGUGCGAGCGUUAAUCGGAAUUACUGGGCGUAAAGCGCAUGCAGGCGGCCUGUUAAGUCAGAUGUGAAAGCCCGGGGCUUAACCUCGGAAUUGCAUUUGAAACUGGCAGGCUAGAGUCUUGUAGAGGGGUUAGAAUUUCAGGUGUAGCGGUGAAAUGCGUAGAGAUCUGAAGGAAUACCAGUGGCGAAGGCGGCCCCGUGGACAAAGACUGACGCUCAGAUGCGAAAGCGUGGGAGCAAACGAGGAUUAGAUACCCCUGGUAGACUGUCA